Molecule: ribosomal RNA, 331 nt
Filed under: uncultured eukaryote
Lineage: Eukaryota
Description: partial 18S ribosomal RNA
Rfam family: Eukaryotic small subunit ribosomal RNA
Source: RNAcentral
CCCUUAGAUGUUCUGGGCCGCACACGCGCUACACUGGCAGGUUCAUCGAGCUUCAUGCCCUGAUCUGAGAAGAACGGGAAAUCUUUGAACACCUGCCGUGCUUGGGAUAGAUGUUUGCAAUUAUUCAUCUUCAACGAGGAUUGCCUUGUAAGCGCACGUCAUCAGCGUGCACUGAAUACGACCCUGUAUUCUGUACACACCGCCCGUCGCUCCUACCGAUUGAAGUUUUCGGUGAAUUUACUGGAGAUCCCUUUUGAAGGUGGUUCGCCACUGGAAGAAGUAUUCAAAAGUAAAUGAAUCGAAUGCUUUAGAGGAAGGAGAAGUCGUAACA